GGCUGAAAUUCGCCUUCAUGAAGCCGGAAUUGCUAGUAAUGGCAGGUCAGCAUACUGCCGUGAAUACGUUCCCGGGCCCUUGUACACACCGCCCGUCACACCAUGAGAGUUGGGAAUACCCGAAGCCUGUGAGCUAACAUUUAUGAGGCAGCAGUCGAAGGUAGAAUCAAUGAUUGGGGUGAAGUCGUAACAAGGUAAC
This 199-nucleotide ribosomal RNA is filed under the name uncultured bacterium. RNAcentral's name for it is "partial 16S ribosomal RNA". It matches the Rfam family "Bacterial small subunit ribosomal RNA", at positions 1303 to 1500 of the family's 1533-position model. The record is from RNAcentral.